RNAcentral lists this ribosomal RNA (253 nucleotides) under uncultured Rikenellaceae bacterium. Its description in RNAcentral is "partial 16S ribosomal RNA". It matches the Rfam family "Bacterial small subunit ribosomal RNA", at positions 524 to 776 of the family's 1533-position model. The record is from RNAcentral. Lineage: Bacteria; Pseudomonadati; Bacteroidota; Bacteroidia; Bacteroidales; Rikenellaceae.
UACGUAGGUGGCGAGCGUUAUCCGGAAUGAUUGGGCGUAAAGGGUGCGUAGGCGGUUUGAUAAGUUAGAGGUGAAAUGUCGGGGCUCAACCCCGAAACUGCCUCUAAUACUGUUGGACUAGAGAAUAGUUGCGGUAGGCGGAAUGUAUGGUGUAGCGGUGAAAUGCUUAGAGAUCAUACAGAACACCGAUUGCGAAAGCAGCUUACCAAACUAUAUCUGACGUUGAGGCACGAAAGCGUGGGUAGCAAACAGG